This is a long non-coding RNA of Rosa chinensis, 1007 nucleotides long. RefSeq lists it as uncharacterized. NCBI's taxonomy places the organism in Eukaryota, Viridiplantae, Streptophyta, Magnoliopsida, Rosales, Rosaceae. The record is from RefSeq and is a predicted model, not a curated record. The transcript has 3 exons.
AUUAUCCCAUUUACCCCAGCACCAGAUUUUUAUUCCCACUAACCCAAUUUACAGUAAAAUGACUAUUAUGCCCUCAACCUAAUUAAAUAACUACUAUCCUGCCAUUCUCUCUCUCACUCAUCCCUCCAAGCUGCUCUCUCUUUUUCAUUCUCCGAUUCUCCGAUCUGCAAUCUCUCUCUCUCUCUCUCCCCGUCGUGGAUGCUCCGGAACCGGAAGACGAAUCUGAUCGCCUCACCUCGUCUAGCCUGACCCGGCCCUUCACCUCCCAGUAUGCCAGCUCGUACCAGAUCGAGCUACUCAACGGAGCCCCACAUGGCUUCUCCUGAACUCGGCCGAAGUCAAAUUGGAGAACCGAGUGACUGCAUGAGGAUGACUCGACGGUUUCAGUGGUGAUGGAUGUGAAAUGGAGUGAGGAAGAGGGUUUGGAAAGCUUGGGGAGGAGUCCAGCCGGCUCGAAUCAACUAAAGACCUCAGAGUUCAUGUAUGAGGGUUUUAAGCAUGGAUGGGAUGGCGAGGAGCUUGGUUGAUCAGCUCACUUUGCCUGUAGCAUGCAGAAAGAUGCCGAAGAGCUAUUUGAGCUCCCUUUUCUCAGGUACAAAGAAAAGGAGUUGUUUUUGGCAUUUGCGGCUAAGGGAUUCAAAGUGCCAUUGAUCCAGGUGGAGUCCUAGUUCCGCUAGGAAAGCUAUUCUGCAGUUUCUGUGUGGUUGUUGUGCAGCUGGUUUAAUUGAUAUUGUAUAUUACAUGGAAACAUCUGACCUGGUAGAUGGCCAUUAGAAUGAUACUCGAACAGCAAGCAAUGCCAUCAUCUGAGAAAUGAAGUCGGGAUGGCCCAGCCAAACAGCUCCAGUUACCAGAUUUCCAUCUGUAAUAGAACUAUCUAUUGGAUCAGGUUCCACCCAUUUUACUUCUGACAAAACUACAUUGACCCUGACCGUUGGGUGUGCAGUACAUUUCCAUCCCUGCAAUGUAGCCAAAAAAUAACAAUUCUGACAUGCUAAACAGCUUCA